UCGGAGCUAACGCGUUAAGUAGACCGCCUGGGGAGUACGGUCGCAAGAUUAAAACUCAAAUGAAUUGACGGGGGCCCGCACAAGCGGUGGAGCAUGUGGUUUAAUUCGAUGCAACGCGAAGAACCUUACCUACUCUUGACAUCCAGAGAAGCCAGCGGAGACGCAGGUGUGCCUUCGGGAACUCUGAGACAGGUGCUGCAUGGCUGUCGUCAGCUCGUGUCGUGAGAU
This 228-nucleotide ribosomal RNA is filed under the name Vibrio sp. s6a4. RNAcentral's name for it is "partial 16S ribosomal RNA". It matches the Rfam family "Bacterial small subunit ribosomal RNA", at positions 846 to 1073 of the family's 1533-position model. The record is from RNAcentral. Lineage: Bacteria; Pseudomonadati; Pseudomonadota; Gammaproteobacteria; Vibrionales; Vibrionaceae.